CUCAAAUCAAGGUUCUAAGGAUAAUUUGACAAAAAGGGUAGGCUUGAAAGGCUCAAACGGUUCAAAGAAGGCCCAAAUCAUAUCCCAAAUCACUUAUUAUCAACACUUCGUAUCAUAAAUGUCCUAAGGUGAGAUUUAAAACCGAACAAAGCAUGAUUGAGCACAAAUACAUUCCAAAUUUAAAAUGCAAAACAUUCAACCAAAGCAAUGCACAAGGUGUGAUUCCUAGCAAUAAUUCACUUCUACGUUCCGUUGAAUCGAAAGCUAAACAAAUAUCUACUCCUUAUCAACAUAAAACAAGUAAUCUCAUCAUCAAACAUUGACCAUCUCCCAUCAUCAUAGUUCAUCGAUGUACCGAAAUUUAUUUAUUUAUUUAUUUAUUAUUAUUUUUUUUUAAAUAAUAAAAAACGGCAACUAAAACAAAAACUAAAGCAUGCAAAAUAAUAAAAAAAUUAAAGCACAAAUAAAGCGCACAUAAAAUAAAACAAGUAGUUAACCACCCCCAAACUUAAAAUUCACAUUGCCCUCAAUGUGAUUCGCCCGGAGUUUAAGGAUAGAAAACACCUGUUUUUAAGCGUCGGGACCAUCGUCGGGUUGUUGGAAUUUGAUCGGUUUUCUUGCCCUUCCCUUUGCUCCUUGAAGUGCCUUCGCCUUGUGAGGUGCCCUCCCCGUCACGUCCUCGUUUCCCCAUGACUUGAGAAUGUGUGUAGAAGGGAUUAGGAGUGGAUUGAUGUGCAAAAUUUCCCCCAAACUUGACUUGGGCAAUUCGUCGAACAUCUUGUGGGCGUUCUUGGUUGAAUGGAUUUUUGGAGAAAUUUGUACCUUUCUUGAACCCUCCCUGCACAAAUCAGCAACAAACAACCGAGAUAAGUAACAAUAUGUGUGUAGUUGGUGAAUUUUCGGUGAAAUUGUUCAAGAAAGUCGAAAAUUUUGAAAAGAGGGGGUUAGGGUUCGAAUUAGGGGAGAAGUGGG
Molecule: long non-coding RNA, 972 nt
Filed under: Erythranthe guttata (spotted monkey flower)
Lineage: Eukaryota; Viridiplantae; Streptophyta; Magnoliopsida; Lamiales; Phrymaceae
Description: long non-coding RNA (EGUT_LNC000640)
Source: RNAcentral